Long non-coding RNA from Erinaceus europaeus (western European hedgehog), 416 nucleotides. RefSeq lists it as uncharacterized. Lineage: Eukaryota; Metazoa; Chordata; Mammalia; Eulipotyphla; Erinaceidae. The record is from RefSeq and is a predicted model, not a curated record. The transcript is spliced from 3 exons.
ACAUGGACCUUUUGGUCACAAGUCCCUUGUGUGUCCCCAGGCUCCUGUCUGAAAUAUGUUUGUGAACCCGGGGCCAUGGGGCAUACAGCUUUCAAGGGUGAGGCCCUUGGUUUGAGUCCCAGCACUGUGUGAAAACAAAAAAAGUCAAAAGAAGUCGACAAAAACAAGGUUGGUCCCUGGGAAUAUCAUCUAUGAAUCCCUACUCAGAAGUGCAUGGAUAACUCCACACCCCAGUGAAAUAAAGACAAAAGCAAAAAGCUUGAAUAUUCAAACUUGCAGUCAGCACCUUGGUGAUGGAUCCUUUCAAACUCCAAAUCUGCCCAGACCCACAAGCGCCAGCCUUAGCCUGCUGUCUCCAUGUUUACACCAUAGUACCCAAGAUGGCGGACACCGUGGACUGUGAGUCAGAACAGAGA